This 4683-nucleotide long non-coding RNA is filed under the name Olea europaea subsp. europaea. Lineage: Eukaryota; Viridiplantae; Streptophyta; Magnoliopsida; Lamiales; Oleaceae. The record is from RNAcentral.
GUGAUUUUUUUGGAGAAUGUCAAAAAGUUAGUACAAACUAUUCACGUCAAAAGAUUUUAUAUGAGUGCAAACUAUCCAUUUCUUUGAAUUUCAAAUUGGAGUUUUUCUUUCAGCUGGAUUUUUCAUCUCUAGCAAAAUCUUAAGUCAAUUUAAAAAAAAUAAAUUACCAGGUAAUUGUUUAUGAUCUAUCUACAAUCUUACUUUUUGUGGAUUUUCUUUUUGUUCUACUUAAUUUGUUUUUGUUCUUUGCCGUGAAAAAUUUUUUGGACUAUUUUUUAUCUACUUUGAUGUAUUUGGAAAGUUAAAUGUUAUCUUUUUAUUGAUUUUUGUUGUGUUCGACUCUAUAUAAAGAAAGAGACAGGAUCUCAGAAACAAAAAUGAAGGUAAAGAUAUAUUCCAUGGAUACAUACAAUUGGAAUAUAGGUCUACAUGAAUGUUUUUGAAAUGCUUAAUUUUGAUUACUAAUUUUUGGAGUUCAAGAAUAUACUGUGAUAGUGCCUUCUUUUAUUUUAAAAAAUUAAUGUUUUGUGUUUGUUGAGUAUACUUGUCUGCUGGGUGCCUUUGAUUGCUUGAUAUCUUUAUUGAUAGACCUUAACAUGUUGUUGGCUUUUUUAUUCCUUUAAAUUUUCCACACUACAAAUUUAUAUGUCUCCAUGUGGCAUGAUUAUCUAGAACCAUACAUCAAAGUAUUCACUUUGUUAUCGUCUAUCAGGAUAUGCUUUUGAGUACACUGUUUUAUAGCACUAAAUUUUUGUUUAUUAAUUUGUUAUGUGGAUAAAAGUGGAAAAUAUUUGUGUAAAGUAUGUUUUAAAUUUUAUUUGUAACCACAUUUUCUCCAAAGCUUUGUCGGGAAUCGUGAAAGAGGAUAUAGUGCCUCUUGGGGCGGCCGGUUCGUUUGUAAAUAAGUUUUGUUAUACCUAUGGUUCUGUGCUACUAUUAGUCAAUAUCCAAAUCAUCAAUACGUUAGAGAUUUGAUACAAUUGUUGCAAGUAGGUAAACAAGCAUCACUAAUGUGCAGUAAUUUUCAUGGAUUUAUAUAUGGAUUCAUGUACAGAGAAGAAGAGCAAUAAUUUAGUAGCAAGUUGAUACAUGAAUUCAUAAUAAGGAUUGUGAAAUCUGGUAAAAACAAUGAAGUGUGAGUAAGAUUUUAUGACCAUCCUGCCCAUUUCAGAAUGAAAGAAUUUUGCUUAAUCACUGAAUUACCUUGCCAUGAAGCAUCUAUUAAUCUUGACGGUACUAAUCCUCGACUUAGAAACCAGUAUUUCAAUGGUGUGAAAAGGAUUUAUAUGAGAAUACUUCGUGAUGUCUUCCAUUCAUGUGAAGAUCGAGAAGAUAAAUUGAAAUUUGAUCGGUUAUGUUGAUAGAGUGUGUUCUCAAAUCAACUGAAAGACACAAUGAUUAUAGAAUGCUAGAUAUGGUUAAGCAGCUUGAUGAUUUUCUUUUGUAUCUAUGGGGUCGAAAGGCAUACUUUGUUUUGUUGAAUUCAUUGCAACAAUCACACCUAGAAAGAAUACAGAGAAUGCAACAAGCUGAGCAAAUGGAGUGUAAAUACGCUACAUGAAUAUCCUCUUGCUUUUCAGGUAUUUCUUUUUUUACUAAUUUUUUCAUGUAUUGUAUACUUUAACGUUGUAUAUAUAUAUAUCUAAUAUUCAGCUUCAAUUUCAUGUUGCAGUUUUGGAUAUACAAAAUAUUUCCCAAUAUUGGAAAGAAAUUUGGACACCGAAGAAAUAAAACAUUACAAAUUUCAAGAAUGCAUAAAUGGAAGCUGAAGGAAAUAUUGAUAGACAAAAUUGUAAAACAAUAUUUGACGACACACGAGGUAUGGUAAAUACAUUUAAAUAUUUUAUUAUGAUAUAGCAUAGAAUUCUAAUAUUUUAUUACAUUUAUAUAUUCGAGUCCUUGUAGUAUUACAACCAACAGAAGAAGAAUUGCAGACAGUGUGGUCACUACUCUGUCAUUACCAUUACACAAUAAACAUAUUAUAUUGGACGUAAAUGUCAUUGGAGAACUUGACAACACUGUACCACAAAUUUCACAUGGCAAUCGUGUGCAGCAAACAAUUAAUGCUGAUGAUACUGGUACUUCUAGAACAUACACUUUAGUUGGAGUGGAGGCUAAUUAUGCUUCUGUUACUAUGUAACAAAAGAACAGAUGGAAGAUAUGUUCGGUACACAUAGGCAGUAUGUAUUUGGUCUAUGUGAUAACUUGAAGGCACACUUGGUUGAAGAAUCAAGAAAACAACAAGCUGAAUAUCUUGAAAUCCAAAAGCAAAUGUUUGAAGAACGGUAAAAAUGGCACAAACAUCAAUAUCAAGAGCUGCACUCUGCCUUCCAAUCUAGUAUGCAAUCUACAUCAUAUGUGGAUACUUAAGCUUUUUGCCAGGAUUUUUAUGGUACACACAUGGCUGAAGAAUUAAGAACACAAGAAGCUCAUUAUCAAACAAUUCUUAAUAAUAAGAAAGAAUUCUUUCAGCAACAACAAAAAUGGCAAGAAGAUCACUAUUAUGGAAUGUAAUCUUAUGUGGACAACAGUUUAACAUCAGUGAGACCUUACAUUGAUGAACAGAACAACAUGUUGAAUAGAAUGGGUGUUGGAGAAUCAAAUAUGGAAGCUAUUGUUGGUUGUUUAAAGCAAGAUACUCCUGGCUCUAGCAAUAAAAUUAGUGGCAAGAAAGGAAGACCUGAACAAACUCAACCUGAUAUGUCCACAAAAGAGAAGUAUAAUAGGAAGAUAAAAUCUUUAGGUUAUCCUCUAGAGCACUAUUCUAUGGAGAGGUAUUCAACAGUUAAAGAUUGGGUGAUGCUGAAUAAAUCAGGGUAAAAUAGUUACAUUGUAUUCAUUUAACACUAACCUAAACUAUGAUAUACAGUACAUAUUGGAAUUUUGGAGGCAAUAUGUAUGGAAGAGACACACUAAAAAAUAUAAUAGAUGAAGACAAAGAUAUCAACGUUCCUGUUAGUGAAGGUUACAAAUCAUAAUUAAUUUCAAUCUACACUUGACAUAUCUAAUUUAUAUAUAUUAAUUGUAUUAGACUAUAGAGAUGGAGUUAAAGUUGUUGAGGGGAUUGAUUAAAGAAAGCUAUACUCUACUCUAUAAAGAAUAUGUAAUUUUGGACUUCAAUUUUGAAACUGAAUACAUUCAUCAAAUGAUGUAGCAAAGAAAUUUAAAAAAAGGAAGUACUUGUGUACAUGAUCGUCAAAUGGAUUUCAUUGUGUUACAAAAAUACAUUAGUGGCAAUUUGCCAGAGGCUAGUCAUCCAUGGGUAGCAUGCAACUAUUUAUUAAUUCAAUGUUCAUAUCCAAGCGAUUAUAAUUGUUAUAUUUUUGUUGUUGAUUUUCGUGAGUUGAAAUUUCAAAUAUAUGAUUGUAGUCAUGACAUUCACACAUAAAGAGAAAUUAGGAAACAAGUAGGUCCAGUAUUUGAAAUACUUCAAAUGUUAUUGACAAAUUCAAAUUUUUGUUCUAGCAUACCUGAUUUAAGAAAAUACAGAAACAAGCGGCUUAAAGUGGAGAUUAUAACUUACUUGUCUUGCGCAAAAUAAUGGGUAAGUAUUUAAAGCAUUUAAAUUGUUUAUUAUUUACUACAACAUUGAAUUUUCCUUUUAAUUUCAAUUUAUACAUUCGUUAAUAGUUUAGCCUAAAGUAAAAAAAAAAAAAAAUUGUAUGUAGGCCAAACUGUACUUUUUGCCCUCAAAUAUAUAGAAUGCUUACAUCUCCAUACAUCCUGAUUGUACUUGUGAUGUAAAUGAUAAUUUAAAUACACAUGCUCAAUGCUGAGAAUGAUUGCUAUGUGAUAAGUUAGUUUUCAAUCAAUUGAAAAAUUAUUUAUUCCUCUUGCUUUUCUCUUCAUACAUAUAUUGGAAUAAUAUAAAAAGAAAGAGUAAUUAUAUGGUGAGGAAGAGUAGAAAAAGUAGAAUGCCCUUUGAUUAAUAUUUUGUAGGUCUAUACACAUACUUUUCCCUUUUUUCGAUGAUUAAUUCUCCUUACUCACUGUACCGUUAUUUUUGUUGCUAGAAAGAUCUGGAAAUUCCAUCUUCUUCUUGUCUUUGGAAUUCGGGAUUAAUAUUGUUUCAAAUAAAGUAAAUGAAAAACAGAAAAUAGAAAUGCCUUGAUUAGUGUUGACAAUUGUGAAAUUACAUGUAUCCUGCUAUCCGACUAUCCAACCAUACAAAAAACAAAGUGAAUAACUAAAGCAUAAAUGAUGUAAGUAUCAUGCCUACAUACAUAAUUUGUCAACAACAAUGUGCUUGGCAGUUUUCAAAUAAUUACAUUAAUGAAUAAAAUGAAGCCAGGACCAAUUUCACAGUAAAGAAAGCAAAAUAAACACUUCAAUUAUUAUUCAAUCCAUCUUUUGUUUUGGAACCAAAAGAUUUGUGCCAGACAUAUUUGAAUUGUUGUUUUCAUCACACAGAAUAUUUGAAUUUGAAGCUUCAUCUGAAGACCUGAAAAUGUCUCUCUUUGCUUGAGGUGACAAAUUCUCUUGAGAGUGUAUAUAGGUACUUUUUUCACCUGUUGUACCUAUACCUUGAAAUAUCAACAUUUUCUUGGCUUUUUUACUCCUGGAUUUGUCUGGUCUAAAUCUAUCAUAGAGAUAAUGUCAAAUCUAUAGCUUGAUGAAUUAGGCUCAAUUUGGAAUGCUUUCAAGUAGAAUACUCGUUCAGGAUUUUUUAUUGUUUUAACGACA